RNAcentral lists this transfer RNA (99 nucleotides) under Actinoplanes couchii. RNAcentral's name for it is "tRNA-Pro". Lineage: Bacteria; Bacillati; Actinomycetota; Actinomycetes; Micromonosporales; Micromonosporaceae. The record is from RNAcentral.
AUCGGACCAGGCGGCACCGGGACGGUCCCGGCGUUCGGGCCGCCAGGGCGGGGGAGCGGCGGGGGAGACGGGCCGGUUCAGCACCGGCGGUGUGGUUCC